Molecule: ribosomal RNA, 451 nt
Filed under: uncultured Alphaproteobacteria bacterium
Lineage: Bacteria; Pseudomonadati; Pseudomonadota; Alphaproteobacteria
Description: bacterial SSU rRNA
Rfam family: Bacterial small subunit ribosomal RNA
Source: RNAcentral
GAGUUUGAUCCUGGCUCAGAGCGAACGCUGGCGGCAGGCCUAACACAUGCAAGUCGAGCGCCCCGCAAGGGGAGCGGCAGACGGGAGAGUAACACGUGGGAACGUACCCUUCAGUUCGGAACAACCAAGGGAAACUUUGGCUAAUACCGAAUACGUCCGUAAGGAGAAAGAUUUAUCGCUGAAGGAUCGGCCCGCGUCUGAUUAGCUAGUUGGCGGGGUAACGGCCCACCAAGUCUGCGAUCAGUAACUGGUGUGAGAGCACGACCAGUCACACGGGCACUGAGACACGGGCCCGACUCCUACGGGAGGCAGCAGUAAGGAAUAUUGGUCAAUGGACGCAAGUUUGAACCAGCCAUGCCGCGUGGAGGAUUAAGGCCCUCUGGGUUGUAAACACCUUUUAUCUGGGAAGAAAUGCAUUUUUUCUAAAGUGCUGACGGUACCAGAGGAAUAA